GCCAGGCAUAGUGUUGCAUGCCUGUAAUCCCAGCAGUUUGGGAGGCAGAAGCAGGAGGAUUUUGAGUUCAAAGCCUUCCUCAGCAACUUAGUGAGGCCCUAAGCAACUCAGUGAUAUCCUGUCUCUA
Molecule: small RNA, 127 nt
Filed under: Marmota monax (woodchuck)
Lineage: Eukaryota; Metazoa; Chordata; Mammalia; Rodentia; Sciuridae
Source: RNAcentral